Molecule: transfer RNA, 69 nt
Filed under: Marmota monax (woodchuck)
Lineage: Eukaryota; Metazoa; Chordata; Mammalia; Rodentia; Sciuridae
Description: tRNA.Ala
Source: RNAcentral
GGAUAUAGCUCAGUUGGUAAAAGUCCUUGCCUAGCAUGCACAAAGCCCUGGGUUCAAUCCCCAGCACCA